GCCGGUAUGGUCCAGUGGUAAGAUAUCUGUUUCGGGUACAGGUGACCCGGGUUCGAUCCCCGGUUCCGGCC
Transfer RNA from Vittaforma corneae ATCC 50505, 71 nucleotides. It matches the Rfam family "tRNA". From Rfam's summary of the family: Transfer RNA (tRNA) molecules are approximately 80 nucleotides in length. Their secondary structure includes four short double-helical elements and three loops (D, anti-codon, and T loops). The record is from Rfam. NCBI's taxonomy places the organism in Eukaryota, Fungi, Microsporidia, Nosematidae.